UACGUAGGGGGCUAGCGUUGUCCGGAUUUAUUGGGCGUAAAGAGCGUGUAGGCGGCCAGGUAGGUCUGCUGUGAAAACUCGAGGCUCAACCUCGAGACGUCGGCGGAAACCAUCUGGCUAGAGUCCGGAAGAGGAGAGUGGAAUUCCUGGUGUAGCGGUGAAAUGCGCAGAUAUCAGGAAGAACACCCGUGGCGAAGGCGGCUCUCUGGGACGGUACUGACGCUGAGGUGCGAAAGCGUGGGGAGCGAACAGG
RNAcentral lists this ribosomal RNA (253 nucleotides) under uncultured bacterium. RNAcentral describes it as "partial 16S ribosomal RNA". It matches the Rfam family "Bacterial small subunit ribosomal RNA", at positions 524 to 776 of the family's 1533-position model. The record is from RNAcentral.